AACACACACACAUGUUCACACAGACACACACAUGUGUGGGAUAAGAGGCAGAGCUAGAGUCCAUUUUCCAGGUCAGACUUGGGACUCCAAGCCUGACUUUGGAGUGAUUCAAAUCACCUUCCACCUAUUUUGCUGCUUGUUCAGUUCAGUACACGUUAAGAAUGGCCCCCAACCAACAGGGAACUGGUUUGGUUAUCUUCCUUUGCCUUUCAAACUCACCCAAGCAAAGAUAAAAGUAAGCAUGUCUUCACAAGCAUCCUCUUAAUGAUUCACAGUUUUGUUUAUUCUGCUGAGCUCAAGUCAGAUGUAACUUGACAUUUAUAUUCCCAUAUACCUCCUUUCUAUGUGUGUGGGUAUUUUAUUUCAUUUUUCAGUAUAUCUAAAUGGUUCUUCUCAUUCUGCCAGAGUGAAUCUAGUUACAUACGCUUGCUGCAAAAAGGAAGUUUCCAAAUCUGGAGUGUAAUAUUCAAUGGUCUUUUCAGAAGAAAGGCACGUUACUCUCUGUGACAGUAACAUUGCUUCAUAUCCAGACCCAAGUCACAUGAAGGAAUUUUCUUCUAGAAUCCUUAUUUACCAAUACCAAUUUUAAAGAAACAAAAUAACUCCAAAAGAUGAGCUUCUAAGGAAAAGACUGGAUACUUAUGUUUUCUCUUUACAGAGAAGCCAUUUCCUAUCUAAUGAUUCUGGAUUAAUUUCUGCAAAUUAGUAUCAGUGUGUAGCACCAGUCUCUCCUUUGCAAAUCUUAUACACCAAUUUUACAAACUUUACAAAUCUUGACCAAUAAAAGCCACAGAUUGUCAAAUGAUAGUUAAAAUACAAGGUUAUGUUUGAAAGUCCAGUUCCACAUAUUCUCCCAACAUAUUCUUUUUAUCAGUAAUAAUAUAGGUUCUCACUGACCUGAUUCGGCAGCCUCUGAACAUGCCAGUGUCUACAAGAUAAGGGCAAACCAAGGUUGUUUUAAUUCCAUCCUUUUCAGCAGCCUUUAGUUCAUGGCUCAGGGAUUCAUGAAAACCCACAACUCCAAAUUUACUGGCACAGUAAUCCUGAGUUAAAGAGGGGAGAAAGCAGAAAUACUAAGCAUAUGCCCCUAUCUCCAACCAAACUAAAGCUUCCCUGGUCCUAUUACCAUGUUUAGAUGUCUAAUACAUAAGGUUACAGGUGACUACACAAAGAAAAGGAAAUCAUUUUAAAAGACAGAUACCUGGCUGGGCAUAGUGGCUCAUGCCUGUAAUCCUAGCACUUUGGGAGGCCGAGGUGGCUGGAUCACUUAAGGUCAGGAGCUCGAGACCAGCCUGGCCAAAAUGGUGAAACCCCGCCUCUACUAAAAAUACAAAAAUUAGCUGGGCAUGGUGGGCCUGUGCCUGUAGUCCCAGCUACUCAGGAGGCUGAGGCAGGAGAAUUGCUUGAACCUGGGAGGUGGAGGUUGCAGUGAGCCAAGAUCACACCACUGCACUCCAGCCUGGGUGACAGAGUGAGACUCUGUCUCAAAAAAAAAAAAACAAAAACAAAAACAAAAACAAAAACAAAAAAAAAACACAAACCAGAUACCUGAUGUGGUUCAGUGCAGAAAUAAUAUUUUCAAAGCAACAGCAGAAACAGAUGAAUACUUUUUGUCACAUCAACUAAGUAUCAUAUUACUUUGGGGAAGUUACCAUAAAGGAUUCUAUGAAAGCUCACAAGCUGAAGUUAAAAUGGAGAGAGGUUCACUUUGAAGUGUCUGGAAAAUUUACAAAUGGUCUCUUGUUCAGUAAAGGAGAAAGAAAAACCAGUUUGUUUAAAUUAAUGCAAGAAGAAUAAAGGCAAAUCUAGCUUAGGCUAUAAAUUGUUAUGAUUUGACUUUCUUUGUAAGGCGAAGUUAAAAUGAAAAUGAUAAUCAUGCCUUGUAAUCUUAAACUAGAACUUAACCUAAAGGCACAGAAUAUAGAAAAAAAGUUAUUGUCCAUGGCCCAACUUCAGAAAUGGAAUCCCUUGAUAUAGGUGCUAUUUAAAUAAUGUGUCCUUUUGCAUAUUUGCAUGGAGUGAUGUUUUCAGUUUUACAGGCAUGCAGAGGACAAACAGGAUAGAACAACAUAUAUACUCAUACUUUAUAAUCUGAAUAUCGUGAAGAACAGGGUUUGAUGAAAUCCAGUUCUACAAUUCUACAAACUUACAAUGCAGGAUACCUGACCGCCUCAUCUGAUGGGCUAAUUAAUACAAGAUAGCUCAGUUUUGGCAAGGUGACCACAACCGAAUGUGAACCUCUGGCCUCAUUCUUCUGUUCCCCACAGCUUUCCAUGGUUCCAUUCUUGGCCCUGUGCCUCCUGCCAUCGUCAAGUGAAGCUGCUAAUGAAAAUGGGCACACUGAGGGCUGGCCCAUCUACUUUUCUUGUCGCUGCUGCUUUGUCAAACUAGUGUAAGAGAUUUUAUGGCAGAAGAGGCAGAAGUCCAUUCCCUUUCUUUGUUUUGUUUUAGAGACAGGGUCUUGCUCUAUCUCCCAGGCUGAAGUGCAGUGGUGCCACCAUAGCUCACUGCAGUCUUGAACACCUGGGCUCGCACGAUUCUCCCACCUCAGCCUCUCAAGUAGCUAGGACUACAGGUGUGCGCCACCACACCUGACAUAGAAUUCCAUUCCAGUGGCUGGCCCUGGGUUCCUGUGGAACAUUCUACAUGCAGCACACAUGCAGAGUGCCUUCGUGCAGCUUUCAUGAAUGGAGGGGCAGCAGGUGCUCUCCUGGAGGUUCUGGUGUACUUAUCACAGGAUAAACAGAUUGAACGAAAGAAAUGCUAUAUAUCUGACAAACCUCAACUCCGGCAGUACUGAACAAUCCCAAGGAACUUGCAACUGUCACAAUAUGACCAUGAUUAAUCUCCAGCAUCGUAGGAAGAAAAGCCUUAGUGGUCUGAAACAAAGUAAGAUUCAAGUUUUAGAACUGAUUUCAUGAAUUUCAUCUAAAACCCAGUCCAGGAUCACAAAACAAACUUUUAUUCACAUGAUGUUUUGUUUCCCAAUUCCUUUAAAAAUAUUUUAUAUUUAUCAAAAAGAUCUUUUAAGUGUCUGGCUAACUUAGCACUGUAUCAUCGGCAUGGCAGGCCUAUUAUAAGUCGUGACCAACAAGACUGUAACUUAAAAGCUUUUGGGGACAGUGUCUAGAGAUAAAAAGAGAGCCAUUGGCAGAAGCUUCUUAAUUACCUUUCAAGUGACAGUUAUCUGCUAAUUUAAAGUACUCCCAAGCCAGGUAUUUGUUUCUGCUCGUGACACUUCAAUGCAGCUAUCUCAUGGUUUAGGAGGGACCACAGCCUACUACAAACAUUGCCUUGUAUUAAUGUGUGCCUUACGGCGAUGUCUACGUAGUAAUAGACCUAUCAAUGAAGAGAUACUCCAGCAGCAUGCUCUGGGAUCCCAAGGCUUAUUACCAAAAUGUACUAGCAGGAGACAAAGUAUUUUAGGAUGUAAAAAACAGGCUAAAUUAUAGAACUAUUUUUGUGAAAAACAUAUCAUAAUGCCAACUAUGCACUGACAAGAACGUGUAUCAUUCUGAACAGUCACAUUCCAACAUGGGUUUCACCGCAGGGACUCUGCCACAGAUGCAAGUGACUGGCCACACAGUGAGGCAGAGAGUGUGGCACAAGUUCCAGGCUGGGGGACCCAGAGGCCCUGAAACUUGUGCCAGAGGUGGCACAAAAUCAGAGGUGGCGCCGAUUUCUUACUCACUAAACUCUUUUCUCUCUAGCUCGCUUGCCUUCAAAAUGCAAGGCUGUAUCAAAAAAAAAAAAAUUACUUCAAAUUGCUUACGAUGAUCUAUUAACUACUCCACCAGGCUCCCAACAGUUUUAUAACCUGCUUCUUAAAAGAAAGCAGCGAAGAGCAAUCUGUCUACUGCUGAGUUAUCUCCUACUGCCAGCACAGCUUCCCAUGAUUUAUGAAGUUAAAAAAACCCACACAACCAAACACUACAAAGCAGACUUAAGGAAGAGCUGCAUUCCCUUCUCAGAGGAUUUGCUGGCUACGGUAUCACUGAGUUUUUGCAUGAAUACCUAAUAUGGGUUUGUGGUUUUUUUUUUUUGGGCGGGGGUGGGGGACAGGGUUUUGCGGUGUUGCCCAGGUUGGAGUGCAAUGGCAUAAUCAUAGCUCACUGCAGCCUCGAACUCCUGGGCUCAAGUGAUCCUUCUGCCUCAGCCUGCCGAGUAGCUGGGACUACAGGCGCACGUCACCAUGCCCAGCUAAUUUUUAAUUUUUUGUAGAGAAGGGGUCUCAUUAUGUUGCCCAGGCCAGUCUUGAACUCCUGGGCUCAAGUGAUCCUCCCAUCUCGGCCUCCUAAAGUGCUGGGAUUACAGGCGUGAGCCACUGCCCUUGGCCUUAUCUAAUUUGUUAUAAUUUUUGUGUGUAAAGAUUGAAAACAGCAAUUCCCUUAAUUCUGAUGUUUUUCUGUGCUCCCACCAAUUAUUCAUACAGGUGCCACAUGAAUUUUUGUGAAGUAUCCCAAGGUCUUCCCCAGUCAUCAUGUAGUACCCCACUCCCAACUCACACCCUGUUUGAGUUUCCUCAUCAGUACCCAUGAAAUGCUUAUUCUCACCUGUGGCAUUUGACCCAUGAACUCUUCUGAUAAUCUAUCCCAGACCCUUCGUGUGUAAAUCAAAGUGUAAUAUUCAUCACAUAUUUAUAUAGUCUCUCAUGCUUUUCAAAGCGCUUUAUGUCACUGGAGCCCCCUAAUAAUUCUUUACUGAAGGUAGUUAGGGUGUUAAACCUUUAUCUAAUAUUAUUCUAGGCCAGCCUGACUUUGUCUACAUUUCUCUAAGACCUAUAGUCAGUACCAUUUACCUUAAUGCGAUUAUGUGUUUUAUAGUGCUUUGAUUUUGAUUGUCUUAUACUUAUUUGUCUGACUGUCCCAGACUAAGCUGGAAGACCCAGAUCAAUCUUCCAAAUAUUAAGGGAGAAUUACCUUGCUACACUGAGACAGGCACUGUGGAGGAGAGCUAGUGAUACGGUUUGGAUCUGUGCCCCCACCCAAAUCUCAGGUCAACUAUAAUCCUCAAUGUCAGAGGUAUGGCCUGGUGGGAGGUGACUGGAUCAUGGGAGUGAUUUUUCAUGUAUGGUUCAGCACCAUCUCCUGGUGCUGCUCUAGUGAUGAGUGAGUUCUUGCGAGAUCGGGUUGUUUAAACGUGUGCAGCCCCCACCCCCUCGCUUCCUCCUGCUUCUGCCGUGUUUAUUGCUGCACCCUCUUUGCCUUCUACCAUGACUGAAAGCUCCCUGAGUCUUCCCCAGAAAUGGAGUAGAAGCCUCUAUGCUUCCUGUACAGCCUGCAGAACCGUGAGCCAAUUAGACUUCUUUUCUUUGUAAAUUACCCAGUCUCACGUAUUUCUGUAUGGCAGUAUGAGAACAGACUAAUACAGCAAGUGAACACACUUCUCAUUACUGCAUUGCCCAAGUACACUGCUGAGGAAGAGAGACACAUGUUUCAGCUUGAUUGUAUUUCUUUGUAGUAGUAAAAACAGAAAGAGUAAUUAUGACAGUAAUUAUUAUUUUGAUCUGUUACCAGAAAAAGUCAAAAACUGGUACUUCAGGUUAUUAUGGGUUCAACUUUAGGCUCUAUAAUUUAUACAUGGGUAUUAUAUCACAGAAUUGAAAUAAAGUAACAUCACAAUGGAAUUUAUAUAUUCCAAUCUAAACUAGAAAACAGCUGGGCACAGUGGCUCACACUUGUAAUCCCCAAGCUUUGGGGGAGGUUAAGGCGGGAGGAUCACUUGAGCCCAGGAGUUCAAGACCACCCUAGGAAACACUGUGAAACGCUGCCUCUACAAAAAAUACAAAAAAUUAGCCGGGCAUAGUGGUGUGUGCCUGUAGUCUCAACUACUUGGGAGGCUGGGGUAGACAGAUCGCUUGAGCCCAGGAGGUCGAGGCUACAGUGAGCCGUGAUUGUGUUAUGGCACCCCAGCCUAGGCGACAGAGCGAGACCCUGCCUCAAACAACUAGAAAACAUAUCCCUAAGUAAUCAAGCCUAUAUGUCUUUUAAAAGUAUCUAGUUAUGAUUAAUUGUUCCCAGAUUAGCCAAAAAGUAUAAAACAUAUUAUUGACGUUAACCAGAGAUCAUUUUUAAGUUUUGAAAAUUUGCCUAGUCUUGGAAGACAGCAAUAAACUUAACAUAAAGGGUCUUAGUUAUCUUUCUGUAUAAAAGUUAAAGUAUAAGGACUCAAUAUUAAAUCCUAAGAAAUUACAUCCAAUAUCAAAUUCCUAUCAGAACCUGCUACUUGGUUACCUGACAAAUCUGAAUCACUCACUCACGUGUCCACUCUAACUCCAGCCAGCGGCUGGCUCUGACUAGAAACUCAGACACCAUAGCAGGUUGGCUGUAAUGACUUCCCUGUAUUCACGUGCUCUGGUCUUGCCUGCAGGUAUUAAAUGACUAAUCCAGAUCCCCAGCACCACAUCAAGGCUCAUUAAUUACAGGCAACACUGCAAUUACUAUAACAAUCACUCACAGCGUCAACAACCACCAAAGAGCUGCGCGGAGGGAACUGAGAGGUGAAGAAAGCUAUCCAGGGCCGCUAAUCAGCCUGAGAUCCCAGACGGCUUGUUUCUAAAGCUGGUGUCAAACAUUUACUCAGCUCUGCUCUGUGUCGGGCAAAGGCAGGCUUGGGGUAGGAGCACCCACAUCAGGACCACUCGGGUUUCUUUUAAGCCUGUGCUCAGGUUCCCGCUGGAGCCCAGUACACGUGACUGAGCACGAAGGCUGUUAAUCAUUUCCUUUGCUGCCUGAAUAGAGGCGAGCAAUUACUCCAAACUCCUGCCUUAUGUCUGGGGCGCAUUAUUAAAUAAACUUUGAUCAACAUGAAUUCUAUUCCAUACUUUGCAAGAAAAAUGCUAUAGUUGGGUGACUAGAAAGCAUCACAUUUUCAGGAAUUUUCCCAAGUAACCUGACUAGUUUUCUUUUCUAAUUACUCUUGCCCUCAACAGUCUGGUAGAUGACAUUUGAGAUAGCACAGCAUAUUCUGUCCUUGACACUGCUUGACAGCACAAAGAAAUCUGGCACUUUGCAAUGAAUUAUUAAUGUGCACAAAUAUUGUAGCAUGUAUGAGAUAGAGACCAGCAAAAGGUGAAGUGCUAGUUGCCAUGACACCAGUCAGUUCAAGCUAAGGUUCAUAAUCUUUAACUUUGUCUCAAAGAGUCGUCAGAAGAACAUAAAGGGCAAAUCUGAAACACACAGCCAAACGGCUUUGGUAUAGAUUAAUGCCUGUGACGCAUGGGUGGAUCUGAGAGGGCAGCACAGAUAAUUUGCUGACCAAUAGGACUGCUGUGUUACAUCAAGUAUAAGGAUGGAUAGAUCAGGAGUUAUCAUCUAGUAAAGGGGUCUCUAAAUGCAGUACAUGUGCUCAGUCUCCAGAGUGAGCUGGUGCCCAUGCUGGUUGGCAAGGUUUGCUAGAUGCUAAAUGUAAGUCAGAGAAUUGCACUCUAUUGCAGUGUCCUCUUUACUGUCUAAAAAACAGAAGAGGACAUCAAGUUCUUCAGCAGGAAAAUAUGGUUGACUCUUGAUCUAGGGGGUCUCAAAGUCAGUAACCAAUAUAUGAAACAGGAAGUUUACAGAAUUUAGAGUUGGAAGGGGCCUAGGGAUUUUCUUAUUUGCAAAAGAGAAAACUUUUAAUAACUGACUUUGGCUAUUAAAUGUAGAGCUAGAACUUUGACUACCAUGAUUAAUUUGAUCACAAGAUUCCAAUACCAUAUUCUGCUACCAGCUGACAGGGUUGCUGUGUGAUUAAAAAAAAAAAGGGAAGGACAUUCAAAUGGACACUGACAUUCCUAUGAAACAUGCUUAACAAGUCUAAUAUCUCCUUAGCUCCUCAGGGUUCCUCUUCAAAGCACUGGGCACUUUGAAAGAUAACUGUAAAGGUCACAUUUGUAAUAUAAGCAAGAACUUCUUAAACAGACAUGUAAGUAACUGCACAUAGACGUGACAUGUCAUAGCUCGAGAAAUCUUUUAAAGUAAAGUUUACGCCAAAUUAACUUCCAACAGCUCCGACUCUCCAGACCAUUCUUGGUACUCUUAAUGACAGACUGUGCAGCCCAAAGCCUGCAGCUGCAGUGUCAGGACAAAUUAGCCUAAAGUGGAACAAAAGUCAAUGUGAAGAAAUGUGGUAUCCGGCAAGGUCUGACUUUUGAAAUUCUGAGAUUGAUGACAUUUUAAAGGUGUAGGUACAACAGAAUGUGUUUUCCAUAUUUGUAAGCAAUUCUAGGUUCCUGAGCACUGAGAGAAAAGCAAAGUUAAUUUCUCACCGUAGGAGAAGGCCUUAUUAUUUUUGUGCACAUACACGACUGUCCUGUGAUCAAGAAAAGGCAUCUUUUAAAAGAAUCGUUUUGAAAUGUUUAUCUCUUAUUUGAAAUCCAAGAAAGAGUAGACAUUCAUUUCCAAACAGGACCAUAAAUCAUAUAACGCUGGGAGAAAGGUCAACACCACCAGCACAGCACAGUUUUCUCACAUAUGCUUAAGGAUUUUCAGAAUCUCCAAAUAAUAGCAUGAUGUAAACUUUGAAUAAAAAAGAACACCAUCAAGACUCCACUGAACAAAGAACGUCUGACUGGAAAUGCUUACGGCACCCUUCACAUGGUUGGGCAACUUUCCUCUACUGUUCCACCCCUUCUGCCUGUGCAGCUGCCAGAGUUAACUUAUCUUUAUCAGAAUCACAAAGGAACACUCUCCUGCUUAUUUACAAGGCUAAAAUGACAUCUGGUGGCGCUCUUCUCUGAGAACUCAGUCACUGUUCCUGGAAAAUGAUGCAAAAGCACAAACUUUUGCAGGGCAACUGUAGGAGUAUUCUUGUGCGUGUGUGUUAAGUACUAACUGCUGAUGUUGCUCAAAUGUUCCGCUAGUCCCUGUAGCCUCACAAUGUUUUAUUCAUUGUCCUGUGAUCAAUUCAAAAAAGCCAUCUUUUAUAAGAAUGGUUUUGAAGUGUUUAUCUUUUAUUUGAACAUCCAAGAAAGAGUAGACAUUGACUUCCACAGGGGACCAUACCUCCUAUAAUGCCUGAAGGUGCUUAAAAUAUAGUGAACUGUGUUAAAGUUAAUAGGAUACAUCAUUAGUGUGUUAAAAAAUGUAAAAUGGUGACAUACUAUCAGCUCACCUGGGUAAGGAAAAUAUGGCUAAAGUACCUCUAAAGGUAUCUACUUAUUAAGUAUACUGACCAAACUUUAGACAUUUUACUUCGACCACAGAAAGUAUUAUUUGAAAAAAAAAUCUUCAUUACAAAAUUACAUAUUUAAUUAGGAAGUAAAACCUAAAUCUGUAUUUACUAGCAAUGCCAACUUUAAAUAUUCUAGUUGCAGCUGACAACAGAAAUUCUAACAUGCAUAUGUUGUUGCAUAAUAGCCUCUUUUUCCUAGUUGGGUAUGUUUGUAGAGACAGAAAGGUCCCCUGACCAAUUGUGCAAUAGAGCCCCAAGAUACUUAAGCCUGGAACUACUCUCUCAGACUUAACAAAAUGUUCAUCUUAAUUUCUAUCAGAUUGGGACAAAACAUUCACUCUUUAGAUAAUAGAGGAGAGACUAAAGAACAUGUCAUAAUAGUCAAAUUUGUGCCAAUGUUAAAUCUAUCCCUUUAAAAACAUGUAUUAUUGUGAGGCCGCAGGGAUUAGUGCAACAUUUGAACAGAAUCAGCAGUUAGUACUUAACACACAUGCACAAGAAUACUCCUACAGUUGCCCUGCAACCAAGAAGCUAAUAAAAGAGCCAGGCUUUUCAAAUGAACACCUCGAUGAUGACACCAUUAGUUAUUCAGCAAAAAUAAAUGCUUCAUUAACUUGUCUUCCCACUGUUAAAGGAUAGGAUGAAUUUACCUCAAGGCAGCAACUCAGAUAUUAACGUUCCCUUACAUUUUAGAGCUCACUAUGCAGAAAUACCAGAAAUAAGGUGACUUAAAACUCAAUUUGUCUGUAAAAUACACUGGCCUUUGGAAUCCAGAAACCCACUUGGUCCUGACUGCCAAUUACUUGACCUUCCUUUUGUUACUUGACCUCUCUGGAUCUUGACUAAACUCAUUUGUGAGACAAGAGGAGAUGUCCAAAGUUUUUUCAUCUCAAAUAUGUUACGAUUUAGAUUCAACAAUUAUUUUUCCAAUUCCUACCACACACCCCGAAUACUGAGGUCACGCUGAGGUAUUAUUUGCCUAAGACUCUCGUAAAUGACUCAAUAAGGGAUCAACUCCAUUAGUGCAGUGGCCAGCAUUGAGUGAUCAGCAAAAAUAUCUCAUUGAGUAUUUCUAUGAUGUCACGGCUGUGCCUUUUAACAUAAUGUAACUUGAAUGUAUGCCUCUUAUCUAUUAAAAAAAUUACAAAUUAUUUGAAACAAUCAUCCUUCUUCCGUUUUACUUGAGUCCAUGGAGGCUCAAUGUGUUAAACAAUGAAUGCUGAACAGUGUUUCUGAAAUGCUGUUUUCCCUCAUCUUUCCCCUGCCGGGCCCUAGAUGAUCAAACGAGUGUUUGAUGAUCUCCUUCAGCCUCAGGCCCCUCCCCCUAUUUAAUAACUCUUUAUGGAAUAAUGAAAAUAACCCACAAAAUUGCAGCCAAAUAGCUUGCCAAACAACAGGCUGUCAUUGAUCUCUUUGCUUUGCCCCAAACUCAAACUGCUUCUCAGAAAUUGUAAUAAAGACAGAUCUUCCAAAGGGCAGAGGCUUCGGUUCUGCUCUAGUGACCAGUAACUACUUCCAUGACGCAUAAACACAUGCAUGCGAGCUUAGCCACUGCUCCGGCCAUCUGCAGUGGCAGACUUCUUAGCCCCUGUUCCAACAGCACAGCUCUCAAUGUCCCCAUCAUCAACCCCUGUAAUUCCUAAGUGUAAAUAGUUCAAAUUCUUCCCUGCUUUCUAGUUUGCUUACUGUGAAAUCUUUAAAAAGUUAAAAUCUUUACAUAAAUGAAGGGUAAAUAUAUUCAAGAGAUUACACCUGAAAACUUAUUCUGUUUUUAAACAUGCACUGUUAGAACUUAGAAUUCACUCAACACAUAUGAGGGUCUAUGAGGUACCUACAUUGGGAUAGGCAUUGUUAAAAAACAAAAAUAAGUAUUUGUGAACCUCUUAAAGGAUUUUAAAGAUUGCAGAUGGCAACUUUCCUAUAAAUCAGUGGUUUGGUACAUUAGAAUCACCUGGGAAGCUUUUCCUCCUGGUGUUCAGGUCACCUCUCAGACCAAUUAUACCAGAAUCUCCAAUGGGAGAAUCAGGCAUCAGGAGGCAACGUCCCUCAGGUGGUUCCCAUUUGUAGCUGAGUUUGGGAACCAGUGCUCUAGAACAGCGUUUCUCAAUCUCAGCACCAUUACAUUUGGGGCUGGGUAAUUUUAAGCCAUAGGAUUGCCCUAUGCAUGGAAGGAUGUUGAAGCAGCAUCCCUGACCUCUCUCCACUAGAUGCCAGCAGCAGCUCCACCAGUCUGACAAGAAAAAUGUCUCCAGAUGUUACCAAUGUUUCCUGGGGGCAAAAUCACCCACAUGAGAACUACUCACUAGAAAGAACAUGUACAUUAGGAAAGGAAGUCCCGUAUACUCCAGUGAUGAUUGUCCCUUAAGUUUUCAUUCUCAUAUUGUAAUGACAUUUUCCAGGUUUGGAAUAUAUUUGGGGCUGGAAAUUGAAAAAAAAAAAAAAAAAGGCAACAACUUAAAUAUGGACUCAAAACUUCAUCACUUUUAGUUUCUAUACUUCAAACCACCACUCCACCAUGAAAUUAAGAAGUACCUUUGAAGGACAAUAAUACUGAUCCAACAAGUCUGAUAUAUUCUAGCUACCUCACAGAGGAACAAUAUUGAAAUGUCAUAGAAGAUGACACCAAUCACUUACCAAUCACAACUCUGGUUAAACCACCGAAAAUAUCAUUACUAAAUUAUGAGAACUGAAAAAAGAAAACUUCCUUUUAAGGACAACAAAUAUACAUGAGACACCAUUCCUUCCAUUAUCCAGCAAUGCCACACAGUUCUUCACUGGCCGGCCCUGACUUUCUGCUGUGGUGCUUAGGGCUGUGAAAACUCCACCCUGGGCAGAGCAACCAUUCAGACACUGGACCUGAAUCAAAAUUUAAAAAAUAAACCUAGAUCAGAGUGGGCCCCAGAGUGCGUGGUCUGACAUCUUCCUAGGUACAAGAUUCCUAAAGGGCUGGUUAGCUCAGGAAAAAAAAAGUGUGUGUAUGUGGGUAAGGGGGAGAUGGAAUAUUGAAAAAGUGGGAAGAGUAGUUCCUCUUCAAACUUUGGCGCACAUGCGUGUAGGAAUCACCUGGGCUCUGAAUCAAAUGCAGACUCAGAUUCAGUAGUUAGGUGGUGCUGCUGUGGCUGCUCGGGACUACAAGCCGAGAAGAAGGUUCUAGAGUGAGCCUGAGCAAUCUGUCUACUCCCAACCUCACGUGGCUUCAGAUCAACUCUCCUAAGAGUUCAGUGAAACAGGCAAUAUAAUUGAUCCUCUUUCUGUUCCCAGUGCCUCCUACCCCUAGCAUUUAUCAGGUAAAGCCUGGUUCAAAUCAAUGCCAAGAGCCCCUAGUGCAAGAGCCCCUAGUAUGAAUGACCAUGGGACUUUGUGGACUGACUCUAUGUCUAUUUACCUUGGAUCCAUUUUUAGCACUAGCAAGCCACCCAAUCCCAUUAGAACAAAGUUUGUAAAGAAGAAACCUAAAAGACUUCAAAUCCUUCCCUCUGCAUCCACAGAGGCUUUGAAGGCUUAGCUUUCAAGACAGGGACUGUAGACUCCGUCAGCCUUGGCACUUACCUCACUGGCUUUCCAACUUUACCUUGGACAAGUGAACCAUAGAGGCUUUUAUACUAUGGUAAGCCUGUGAGAAAACCUCAUUUAGGGAAUAAUUACCCCUUUAUAGAUCACAUGCUUGGACUAUAAGUUUGGACACUACCAGUGGCCCAAAGUGCACAAUUUUGAAAAUCCAUGAUUAACAUUUCAAAGGCAAAGCUUAUGAAGCUAUCUGGAAUUCUGAUCCCAUAAGAAUAUUAUAUAACAGAAUAAAGGUUUUACAUUUUGUUAGGAGAUAAGCUAACAAAAUGAACUAAACUAAAAC
RNAcentral lists this long non-coding RNA (13000 nucleotides) under Homo sapiens (human). RNAcentral describes it as "HSALNT0138647". Lineage: Eukaryota; Metazoa; Chordata; Mammalia; Primates; Hominidae. The record is from RNAcentral.